GCCUACAUGAAGUCGGAAUCGCUAGUAAUCGCGGAUCAGCAUGCCGCGGUGAAUACGUUCCCGGGCCUUGUACACACCGCCCGUCACACCAUGAGAGUUUGUAACACCAAGCCGGUGGGUAACCUUUGGAGCCAGCCGUCUAAGGUGGGACAGAUGAUUGGGGUGAAGUCGUAACAAGGUAGC
This 183-nucleotide ribosomal RNA is filed under the name uncultured bacterium. RNAcentral's name for it is "partial 16S ribosomal RNA". It matches the Rfam family "Bacterial small subunit ribosomal RNA", at positions 1314 to 1500 of the family's 1533-position model. The record is from RNAcentral.